GGAGGGGGCUAGCGUUGUUCGGAAUUACUGGGCGUAAAGCGCGCGUAGGCGGGCUGGUCAGUUGGGGGUGAAAUCCCGGGGCUUAACCUCGGAACUGCCCUCAAUACUACCAGUCUAGAGAUCGAGAGAGGUAAGUGGAAUUCCUAGUGUAGAGGUGAAAUUCGUAGAUAUUAGGAAGAACACCAGUGGCGAAGGCGGCUUACUGGCUCGAUACUGACGCUGAGGCGCGAAAGCGUGGGGAGCAAACAGGAUUAGAUACCCUGGUAGUCCACGCCGUAAACGAUGGGUGCUAGUUGUCGGGCGGCAUGCCCGUUCGGUGACGCAGCAAACGCGUUAAGCACCCCGCCUGGGGACUACGGUCGCAAGACUA
RNAcentral lists this ribosomal RNA (370 nucleotides) under uncultured organism. RNAcentral's name for it is "partial 16S ribosomal RNA". It matches the Rfam family "Bacterial small subunit ribosomal RNA", at positions 527 to 896 of the family's 1533-position model. The record is from RNAcentral.